GUGGUAACGAGCACGACGGUGGAAUCCCUGGAAUAUCGACCCGCGAUCGAGGCCGGCGUUCGCGCGCGAGACAAUUUUACAUCGAGGCACACAUCGGAGGCAUCGGAGUAUCGUGCCUCGCCUCGCCUUGGAGAUGCUGGUAUCGGUGCAGCAAGUACUGUAGUUGUCAGCUGGAUUUUCGCUCGUGAACGUCGCCGCGUCGUGAGUGACUUGAGUGAGUGCGCCGACAGAGAUGCGACACCGGAGGAGGACCACGGAGAGGAGGAGAAGGUCUGGGAGGCAUCAGGUGACGGCGGAGCAACCGUGGGAUCAACGCAGGGUCACAACUUAUAACUCCGCUGUUGCG
Long non-coding RNA from Temnothorax curvispinosus, 346 nucleotides. RefSeq lists it as uncharacterized. NCBI's taxonomy places the organism in Eukaryota, Metazoa, Arthropoda, Insecta, Hymenoptera, Formicidae. The transcript is spliced from 3 exons. The record is from RefSeq and is a predicted model, not a curated record.